This 345-nucleotide long non-coding RNA is filed under the name Elaeis guineensis (African oil palm). RNAcentral's name for it is "long non-coding RNA (EGUI_LNC080942)". The record is from RNAcentral. Lineage: Eukaryota; Viridiplantae; Streptophyta; Magnoliopsida; Arecales; Arecaceae.
GAUAGAAGCUGUCAUUCUUAUUAACAGCCUAUCAUUUGGUCGUGAACAGUUUUAAGGACUAAUCGAUAAAUCCUCUCUUUAUCGAAUCUAAAUAGUCCUAAGGACUUCAUCAUAACAAUGGAGUUCAUUAGAAGAUGAAUGCUUAUGAUGAAAAUGCCAAAUAUAUUUUAUUUAUUAACAAAUCAAUUACAAUACUUGGUUGCUCAACCGUCAACAGCUUGACGAUUGGCUUUUGGGACAUAUUUUUCAACAACUCCCACUUGUCCUAAAGCCACUCGGCACAGUAUCUAAUACCCAUCUUCAACUUGUGGUUGUCGAACUCCUUUAUUGCCAGGGCUUUAGUGA